Molecule: ribosomal RNA, 457 nt
Filed under: uncultured Planctomycetota bacterium
Lineage: Bacteria; Pseudomonadati; Planctomycetota
Description: bacterial SSU rRNA
Rfam family: Bacterial small subunit ribosomal RNA
Source: RNAcentral
GCGAAAAACCUUAUCCUAGGCUUGACAUGGUUGGAUGAUCUACCUGAAAGGGAUACAUUUGCCUUCGGGUGAAACAAUCACAGGUGCCGCAUGGCUGUCGUCAGCUCGUGUCGUGAGAUGUCGGUUUUAGUCCUUCAACGAGCGAAACCCCUGUCUCCAGUUCCCAGCAUUCAGUUGGGGACUCUGGAGAGACCGCCGGCGUUAAACCGGAGGAAGGCGGGGACGACGUCAAGUCAUCACGGCCUUUAUGCCUAGGGCUGCACACGUGCUACAAUGGGGCGGACAAAGGGACGCCAACGCGCAAGCGGGAGCAAAUCUCAAAAACCGCCCCCCAGUUCAGAUUGCAGGCUGCAAUUCGCCUGCAUAAAGCCGGAAUCGCUAGUAAUCGCAGAUCAGUUAUGCUGCGGUAAUGUGUCCUAGCAUUGUACACACUGCCCGUCAAGCCACGAAAGCGCGG